This 491-nucleotide long non-coding RNA is filed under the name Setaria viridis. RNAcentral's name for it is "long non-coding RNA (SVIR_LNC009008)". The record is from RNAcentral. Lineage: Eukaryota; Viridiplantae; Streptophyta; Magnoliopsida; Poales; Poaceae.
GUGUCGAUGCAGCCCUGCCAACCCGUACGAACUCGUGAAAGAAGAAAAGUAUUGGCGAAGUCACCGACUUAGAAGUAAAAUGCGAUGAAAAAGUAGAUUUGUUUGUAUUGAUUGAUGUGUUCUUUACAAAUCUCUGAGGAUGGCUAUUUAUAGCCUGUUACAACCAAUUUCCUAACCGACUAGGAUCUUCUUUUUCUGAUCCACUUUAAGCCCAUGUUGGCCCAAUCGCUCCAGCCUUCCAAUAGGCCGAUCUCCACCAACUCCAUCCGCCAAAACACUAUAGCACCAAUCGGCCGAUCCCCAACUGUAGCACCAAUCGGCCGAUUCCCAAUCGUGACCUUUUAAUCCCCCAUAUCAGCCAAUCCUCUCUUCUCUUGACGCCGAUCCCAUACGUGUCAAAAUCUGGCGUCAACAGUCUCCCCUCAUGGUGUGAUACAGGGACACCAAUCGAACUCAGGUCAUCAAUAAAGUCAACACAAAACUCAAUAACC